GCCGGUAUAGCUCAGCUGGUAGAGCAACUGACUUGUAAUCAGUAGGUCCCGGGUUCGACUCCUGGUGCCGGCACCA
RNAcentral lists this transfer RNA (76 nucleotides) under Pseudomonas aeruginosa. RNAcentral describes it as "tRNA-Thr (TGT) (tRNA-Thr-TGT-1-1)". It matches the Rfam family "tRNA". Rfam says of the family: Transfer RNA (tRNA) molecules are approximately 80 nucleotides in length. RNAcentral also lists the same sequence under 621 other names. Lineage: Bacteria; Pseudomonadati; Pseudomonadota; Gammaproteobacteria; Pseudomonadales; Pseudomonadaceae. The record is from RNAcentral.